UACGGGGGGUGCGAGCGUUGUCCGGAAUCACUGGGCGUAAAGGGCGCGUAGGUGGUUUGAUAAGGGUGUGGUGAAAGCCCGGGGCUCAACCCCGGGUCUGCCGUGCCGACUGUCAAACUCGAGGGCUGUAGAGGCAGACGGAAUUCCGGGUGUAGCGGUGAAAUGCGCAGAUAUCAGGAGGAACACCGGUGGCGAAGGCGGGACUCUGGGCCGAUACUGACGCUGAGGAGCGAAAGCGUGGGGAGCAAACAGG
This 253-nucleotide ribosomal RNA is filed under the name uncultured bacterium. RNAcentral describes it as "partial 16S ribosomal RNA". It matches the Rfam family "Bacterial small subunit ribosomal RNA", at positions 524 to 776 of the family's 1533-position model. The record is from RNAcentral.